UGGGAAUUCUGUUAACAAAUCA
This 22-nucleotide non-coding RNA is filed under the name Rattus norvegicus (Norway rat). The record is from RNAcentral. Lineage: Eukaryota; Metazoa; Chordata; Mammalia; Rodentia; Muridae.